Molecule: ribosomal RNA, 387 nt
Filed under: uncultured bacterium
Lineage: Bacteria
Description: bacterial SSU rRNA
Rfam family: Bacterial small subunit ribosomal RNA
Source: RNAcentral
AUUGAACGCUGGCGGCAUGCUUUACACAUGCAAGUCGAACGGCAGCACGGGUGCUUGCACCUGGUGGCGAGUGGCGAACGGGUGAGUAAUGCAUCGGAACGUGCCCAUGAGUGGGGGAUAGCCCGGCGAAAGCCGGAUUAAUACCGCAUACGCCCUUAGGGGAAAGCGGGGGAUCUUCGGACCUCGCGCUAUUGGAGCGGCCGAUGUCGGAUUAGCUAGUAGGUGAGGUAAAGGCUCACCUAGGCGACGAUCCGUAGCUGGUCUGAGAGGAUGAUCAGCCACACUGGGACUGAGACACGGCCCAGACUCCUACGGGAGGCAGCAGUGGGGAAUUUUGGACAAUGGGCGCAAGCCUGAUCCAGCCAUGCCGCGUGAGUGAAGAAGGCC